RNAcentral lists this ribosomal RNA (429 nucleotides) under Chloroflexota bacterium. RNAcentral describes it as "Chloroflexi bacterium partial 16S ribosomal RNA". It matches the Rfam family "Bacterial small subunit ribosomal RNA", at positions 355 to 776 of the family's 1533-position model. The record is from RNAcentral. Lineage: Bacteria; Bacillati; Chloroflexota.
UGGGGAAUAUUGCACAAUUGGCGCAAGCCUGAUGCAGCCAUGCCGCGUGUAUGAAGAAGGCCUUCGGGUUGUAAAGUACUUUCAGCGGGGAGGAAGGGAGUAAAGUUAAUACCUUUGCUCAUUGACGUUACCCGCAGAAGAAGCACCGGCUAACUCCGUGCCAGCAGCCGCGGUAAUACGGAGGGUGCAAGCGUUAAUCGGAAUUACUGGGCGUAAAGCGCACGCAGGCGGUUGAUUGAGUCAGAUGUGAAAUCCCCGGGCUUAACCCGGGAAUUGCAUCUGAUACUGGUCAGCUAGAGUCUUGUAGAGGGGGGUAGAAUUCCAUGUGUGGCGGUGAAAUGCGUAGAGAUGUGGAGGAAGACCGGUGGCGAAGGCGGCCCCCUGGACAAAGACUGACGCUCAGGUGCGAAAGCGUGGGGAGCAAACAGG